CUCAGGAUGAACGCUGGCGGCGUGCUUAAUACAUGCAAGUCGAACGAAGCGCUUACAGCCGAUCCCUUCGGGGUGAAGCAGUUUGUGACUUAGUGGCGGACGGGUGAGUAACGCGUGGGUAACCUGCCUCAUGCAGGGGGAUAACAGUUAGAAAUGACCGCUAAUACCGCAUAAGCGCACGGCACCGCAUGGUGGAGUGUGAAAAGAUUUAUCGGCAUGAGAUGGACCCGCGUCUGAUUAGGUAGUUGGUGGGGUAACGGCCUACCAAGCCGACGAUCAGUAGCCGACUUGAGAGAGUGAUCGGCCACAUUGGGACUGAGACACGGCCCAGACUCCUACGGGAGGCAGCAGUAGGGAAUAUUGCACAAUGGGGGAAACCCUGAUGCCAGCGACGCCGCGUGAGUGAAGAAGUAUUUCGGUACGUAAAGCUCUAUCAGCAGGGAAGAUAAUGACGGUACCUGACUAAGAAGCCCCGGCUAACUACGUGCCAGCAGCGGC
RNAcentral lists this ribosomal RNA (498 nucleotides) under uncultured bacterium. RNAcentral's name for it is "bacterial SSU rRNA". It matches the Rfam family "Bacterial small subunit ribosomal RNA", at positions 23 to 518 of the family's 1533-position model. The record is from RNAcentral.